CCUACGGGGGGCAGCAGUGGGGAAUAUUGCACAAUGGGCGCAAGCCUGAUGCAGCCAUGCCGCGUGUGUGAAGAAGGCCUUCGGGUUGUAAAGCACUUUCAGCGGGGAGGAAGGCGGUGAGGUUAAUAACCUCAUCGAUUGACGUUACCCGCAGAAGAAGCAACGGCUAACUCCGUGCCAGCAGCCGCGGUAAUACGGAGGGUGCAAGCGUUAAUCGGAAUUACUGGGCGUAAAGCGCACGCAGGCGGUCUCUCAAGUCGGAUGUGAAAUCCCCGGGCUCAACCUGGGAACUGCAUUCGAAACUGGCAGGCUAGAGUCUUGUAGAGGGGGGUAGAAUUCCAGGUGUAGCGGUGAAAUGCGUAGAGAUCUGGAGGAAUACCGGUGGCGAAGGCGGCCCCCUGGACAAAGACUGACGCUCAGGUGCGAAAGCGUGGGGAGCAAACAGGAUUAGAUACCCGUGUAGUC
Molecule: ribosomal RNA, 465 nt
Filed under: uncultured Klebsiella sp.
Lineage: Bacteria; Pseudomonadati; Pseudomonadota; Gammaproteobacteria; Enterobacterales; Enterobacteriaceae
Description: bacterial SSU rRNA
Rfam family: Bacterial small subunit ribosomal RNA
Source: RNAcentral